UAGGGAAUCUUUCACAAUGGGCGAAAGCCUGAUGGAGCAACGCCGCGUGUGUGAUGAAGGGUUUCGGCUCGUAAAACACUGUUGUAAGAGAAGAAUGACAUUGAGAGUAACUGUUCAAUGUGUGACGGUAUCUUACCAGAAAGGAACGGCUAAAUACGUGCCAG
RNAcentral lists this ribosomal RNA (164 nucleotides) under uncultured bacterium. Its description in RNAcentral is "partial 16S rRNA". It matches the Rfam family "Bacterial small subunit ribosomal RNA", at positions 355 to 511 of the family's 1533-position model. The record is from RNAcentral.